Molecule: ribosomal RNA, 465 nt
Filed under: uncultured bacterium
Lineage: Bacteria
Description: partial 16S ribosomal RNA
Rfam family: Bacterial small subunit ribosomal RNA
Source: RNAcentral
GACGAACGCUGGCGGCGUGCUUAACACAUGCAAGUCGAACGGAAAGGCCCUGCUUGCAGGGUACUCGAGUGGCGAACGGGUGAGUAACACGUGGGUGAUCUGCCCUGCACUUCGGGAUAAGCCUGGGAAACUGGGUCUAAUACCGGAUAGGAGCCAUUUUUAGUGUGAUGGUUGGAAAGUUUUUUCGGUGUAGGAUGAGCUCGCGGCCUAUCAGCUUGUUGGUGGGGUAAUGGCCUACCAAGGCGGCGACGGGUAGCCGGCCUGAGAGGGUGGACGGCCACAUUGGGACUGAGAGACGGCCCAGACUCCUACGGGAGGCAGAAGUGGGGAAUAUUGCACAAUGGGCGCAAGCCUGAUGCAGCGACGCCGCGUGGGGGAGGACGGCCUUCGGGUUGUAAACUCCUUUCGCUAGGGACGAAGCUUUUUGUGACGGUACCUAGAUAAGAAGCACCGGCUAACUACGUG